This is a long non-coding RNA of Austrofundulus limnaeus, 3190 nucleotides long. RefSeq lists it as uncharacterized. NCBI's taxonomy places the organism in Eukaryota, Metazoa, Chordata, Actinopteri, Cyprinodontiformes, Rivulidae. The record is from RefSeq and is a predicted model, not a curated record. The transcript has 3 exons.
ACCACCUGCUCCAGCUUGAAGGCCAGCCUCUGUUUCCUGGCUGUGUCAUCUUGCUCCAGUGAACACACGAUCUGUCAGCAGGAUGGUGAGCUCCUAAGGCUGAACAGGUUUGGACAACUUCUACUUGAGACACACUCUGUGAUGGAUCGAAUAAAAAAGUUGUGACAAGUGGAAGAAGCUGCACACGUGCUUCAUGGUAAAGUAACCAAAAUGGAGACGUCAUCGAAGCAGAGCUGCUUAAGAUUUCAACUUGAAACACCACACGAAGCCACUGAGGUAAAGGCAAUCAGUCACUGUCGGCAGCAGCUGUGUUUCCCCAUAUCAGUUAUGUUAAUUAAAGAUUCUUAUUAACAUAUUAAAUUCCUGUAGCAGCAGCUGCUUGAGGACAGGCCUGGUGGCUGGUUAGAUCGUUCUAGCAGAGUGUGUGCUAGAGAUGGCAUUUUCUAAACAAGCAUUCAGAGUGAAGGAGAAAGCUGGUGAGUGCUGCUCAUGCCUGUAUCACCACUGUACUGCAUAGAUGUUAUUCAGAUGAAUAUUACAGGAGGCUGUAACAUGUCUAACUGAUGCAUCUGAAACCUGUCUUUACAUUCAGGSCCAAUUUAUAAAACACUGAUUAUGAGUGAAACUGUAGCUUUUCUGCUGUGGUUCUCAGGUCUCAGAGUAAGGUUUUUGGAAGACCCCCAAAGGUUCCUGUAUUUGUUUCUCAUGUUGAGGCUGCAUGUUUCCUUUUUGUUGAUGUCCAGCAUCAGUGUUACCCCAAAUAUAUGGUAAUUUAUGUUUUAAGUCCCCCUUCUUUUCUGUGCACGUUUCCUAGUCACAACACACACCUCAUCUUACACCCCCCCACCCCCCAAAAAAAGUUUAAAGUGAUGUACGAUAGUUCAUCAUUCUCUGCCUGGCAUAGAAAGUACAGUGGAUCAAUGUUAAUAUGUUUUUUUUGGUUUGCUACACAAAACAUUGAAAAAUGCUAACACUUCCAGAGAUCCUUCUUGUGUAAACGUGGCCUCAAUUAAUGUUGGAGUUUUAGGCUCUGUUUACACAAGAAUGAACAUUAGUUAUAUCCUGCAACAUUAGUGUCAUUUUAAUUUGUAUUUGGGCAAAUAAAACAAAACAUGUUUAUAUGGAACCACUGGGUUGCCAGAUGGAACAAGAUAAACUGUUGUUCUUUUGCUUUAAAUUUAUAUUUUAACCCAAACGGUGAGUGAGGAUAUUGUAAGAUGAGGUGUGUGUGUGUUUGGUGAAAAGGAGGGUCAAAAAGCUUAUUUUUAUGAUUAUCUGGCAACCCUGAUGCUGGACUCAGCUGCAUGAUCACACUYCCAUCAAAACUAGUGAAUUUAUCCACAUCAAUGUAUUGUAAAUUGUUUCUUUGCCUGUAAUCACAUAACUGUGUGUUGGGUAUUUCACUAAAAAUUUCCACUCUAAAACCAGAAUUCAGAAACCUUGGUUUCAGAGAGACGAGGCCUUAAAUCUCUAAAACCAUKAUAAAGAAAUGACAAUAAUGCCUCAUAGAACCAUUAUACCAUAUGUUUUUCUACAAUGGCACAAAACUUAAUUAUAAUUGUGUGAAUGAAGUGGCAGGUGAAUGUUAUUGACUGGAGACCUUAAACUCCCACAUCAAAUUCAAAGUAACUGUGAAUAACUCCGUUCUGCUUUCCUUCACCAACUUAAGUUGAUAGAAUCAACAUAAAGUGAUAARUAGGAAAUAAAAAGCUCUGUCUGAAAUAAUUACUUUGUUCAACAUCAAAGCCACAAUAGACUAUUCUGACAUUAGCCAAUAUUGAACAAAUAUCUUUGUAGAUUUGAACACAGCUUGGCCUUUUAAAACAACUUUCAACAUAAAAACACUGUUUUCUAAACUUUUACAUCAUUGCUUUUUAGUCAUUUUUAGAAAAUUAGAAAAGUGAUGCAGUGUAAAAAAAAUUAAAGUUAGUUUGAACUACAAUAUUUUUUCUUCAGAUGGUUUCUCUGCAAGGUUACAUGGAACUUUAUAGUAGGUAACAGAACAAUUCAGUCUUAUGAAAUGUUGAUGUAAAGAUAAAAAAAAAUAGUGUUUAACUUUGAGAAUUGAGUUCCUGGCCCUGCUUGUACUAGCUGUUAGCUCUUCUCCACAAAACCUGAACUAUUACGGUAAUCUCCAAACAGCAUUUAUCUUUAGGUGUAUUAAUGGGCUAACUCAGCCUGAGGCUUCCUGCCUGAAUUCUUCUCUUGAAGGGAUAGCUUGAUCAGUCUGCAGUGAUGUUCUCUGAAAUAAUAUCUUAUCAGUUUUGACUUAAAAUCAGAGAAUGUAGAAAGAGAAAACAUGAGCCUCAAAUAUAAAAMUCUUGCUCCAAAAAGAUGACAAACUSUUUAUUUUGUCACUGUUUACUCAGCAUAACUACACAUGAACACAGCUUUUAUCCCAGUCGUCUCAAGUCUAAAACUUUGUUCAACUCUUGGCAGAUAUGGAAGUUCGUGCUGAUCAAUGAAUUCAGCAGUCCUACAUUAGCACAAUAACAGCUGUUUGGUUGAGAAAACAAACUAAACAAAGGGUCUCCUGCUAAAAAUGCAUCAGUCUGACUCCYCCCUGUUGCUACAGGGUGAGUCAGAAGUCGCAAGACACCCUUUUAUUUCAGAAGGAAAAGGGAGAAAUGACAUUUCUGAAUACUCCAGCAAGUAAUGGGUGAGAGGGCUAUCUGAAAAAGUUGCCCUUGAUCCAUAAUGGUGGCCAUAUCCUGGACAUAGCUGAGAAGAUAGACCCUCACCCAUUACUUGCUGGCAAAUUCAAACAUGUCAUUUUCCCUUUUAUUUCUGAAAUAAAAGGGUGUCCUGUAACGUUUGACUCAACCUGUACAUUCUCUGACUAUUAUUUAUAUAUUUGACCAUACAUCACUUCACAAUUUUCAUUUUUAAAAUAAAAGUAUAGCACAUUCUUUGCUUUUGAAAAAGUAAACUGAUUUCCACUUUUUUGCUGUAACUCUUAAAAAAAGCCUGUUUUUUCCUCUGUCCUAACCCUUUGACUCUCUCAGUACAGUAGCUCUCAUGCCGCGGGCGCACCCAUCCAUCCUCACUGUGUUGUAAUUUGGAUGGGGUUUCACAGCUCAUAGAUCAGUGCUACAGUCAUGCUGUGUUUGUUGGCCUGAAACAUAGCUAAUGUAAGUCUUCUCUCUCUUCAUCCAUCCAGUGACUGGUGUACACACUCCUGCAUGUGAAC